This is a long non-coding RNA of Bombyx mori (domestic silkworm), 12134 nucleotides long. RefSeq lists it as uncharacterized. The transcript is spliced from 3 exons. Lineage: Eukaryota; Metazoa; Arthropoda; Insecta; Lepidoptera; Bombycidae. The record is from RefSeq and is a predicted model, not a curated record.
UUUUGGCGGGAACGCGAGGAGUGAAGUUGUGUGAUUUGUUUUAUUUUGUCUACUUAGUGUUUCUUCAGGUUUAAAUGUGUAAUAACGGUGGUUUAUUAACUGUUUAAUAUCUGUGAAAGUGCACAAAUGUGGGAAAAUGAAACAAAGCCGCUGGACGUAACUUCUCGGGAUCCUCCAAAAGUCCACUCAAAAAAUCUUAGUAAACACGGCGCAUUUUUCGAAAAACAUUUUAAACUGCUCACUGAUAGUACAGACUGGUAAACAACAAGUCUUCUGCAAGAAUAAAUUAAGUAUACUUUAAAGUUACCGGCAAACUUCAAUACGAACGAAUAAUUCAAGAAAUGCAAUAAUUUUUUUUCUGUAUAACGUAGCUUAGACAAACUUUUCAGAGCAUGUUAUUGAUAUACAAUUCCUCGAGCUAGACCUGUCGUAUCCUCAUCAUAUUCGACUUUCGCUGAUGAUAUAUUACGGACGGGCGAUUUUAUUUAUUUGAAUACUUGGGUUUUUUAUCGGCUUUGUAGCCAAACGAGCAUACGGCCCACCUGAUGAUAAAUGGUUACUGUCGCUCGUGGACAUCAGCAAUAGAGGCACAACCAAAUCGCUGGCCGUUUAUUAUGCCGUACAUUUUUGUUGAUGCAGUGAGAUUUCAAUAAAAUGAGACCAGUAAGUAAUAUUAGAUAGUAUAUUAACAGAAAAGAGAAAAGAAAACGAGGAGCCAUGACAGGUAUCCUAUAUCUGUGUCUUGUAGAUGACGCUAUAACUAAAAUGAAUCAAGUUACCAUAGAUUAUAAAAAAAAAAAUUGAUUAUUUUACACACGUUAAAUGAAACUAGUGGUCCCGCAGUAGUCGAAAUUCGACUAUAAUUAAUUGGAAUUGUAAGUUUUGUACAUUAUUAUGAUUGUAAUUUAUACUUCUAUAAUCACAAAUUUCGCCAAGACUACACUAUAAAAAUAUUAACAAAGACAAACAAUAUUUAAUCUAUUCUCAAUUUGACAACAGACGUCAAGAACAAAAGUUUGACAAUAAAUAGUAUGCAUGCGUGUGUGCGUCAAAUACAUGGUAUGUAGUGUGUGUAAUGUUUUCUUUAUUGAUUUAAUGAAUCUUUUAUGCAUUAUUUUAAAAAAAUAUUAGGAUUGUGCACUUCUAUAUUCUCUAUAAGUGUGAAAAAUUCCAUACUCCUCCGUCCGCGCAAUUUCCGUAAAAAGGGAUACAAAGUUUUUGCUUCACGUAUUAAUAUAUAGAUAGUCCAUUUACAAAAUCUUCUUGCUUAUCUAUGAAAAACAUUUGAUUGUGAAUUACGUACAACGUUCUAAAUUCAAUUCAAAACUGAAACGAUUCGAUUGAUGGUCUUGUACACAAAUUAAACGCGCGUAUGUACUUUACAAAAAGGACGAACAUCGAAAAUAACUCGUCUGACCGUUUCCCUUUCGUCGGAAGAUGUGUAUCUAUAAACAACUGAGACAAGAGACUGCUCUCUCUUUCGCUCGAACGCGACAUUCCCUAGACGCCACGUGUCACCACCGUACGUAAUGUAUCAAACACCGUAAACCGAUGAAUGAAUUUAACUUUUAUCGCAUUCAAAACAAGGUCUUAAAUAAGUUUUGAAUUCAGACGUCUGCUUUUAACUGGGUCAAAACGUUACAUGCGCUCGCUCGAUACAAGGCAGUUCGAUCUCAAUUUUAAAGCGACUAAGAUUAAUAUUUUAUUGAGGAAUCGAUCACAGAAGUAGUGUGCUCCAUUUCAAAUUGUCUUUUCGAACGUUUUUUUAAUAAACACGCAAAUUUGAAUUAUUUUAAUAUGAAUUAUGUGUACAACCUUUUUUCAUUACCGAUGCGGAAUGUAAUGAAUUUGAACAUUGGCGAAUGAUAGAUUAAACGUAAACCAUUGUAGUAUGACAGAUUACUGGGCCAAAACAAACUUGCGAUGAACGUUGCCAAUUCCAGUUCGAUCAACCUUACACCCUCCCCACUCCACUCCGCAUCCCCUGUCAACCCGAUGCGUAAGACGAAUCAUUAAUCAUUUCUUCGCGUACAUCUCGAAAUUUUGAGUCCCACGAAUUUGACGCUUAAGUUAAAACGUUAAGGUACGUUUCUAAACGCAACCGAAGAGCCGUUAAGUCUUUCUACCGUGACCGACCGGGCUGUGUGUCGACGCACCUCUUGUUACCUCCGUACCCCUGGUGUUAUGUAAGUCGGGUGCAAUGGCCGCUUAAGAACAUAGGAAAGGUGUUUCUUUCACGUACGAGAGUUUUCACGAGCCCCCUAAGCACUUGAUGAUGCGCGGAAUAUCAUCACCACCACAAAUCCUCAAUGGAAUAAUGUCACAAAAAAUUGUCGAUGGCUUCGAUUGAAACGUUUCCGUCACUCCGAUUCACGCGACACGGAAACAAAAAUACGUUCAAAAGGUCCGUGAACCGAAAACCGAUCGCGCCCCAACGCGACCCAAAUGUUAAGAAGGCACAUUCGAAUGUAAUCGCGAUGCGGUAAUUAGCCGGUACAGGCGCGAAUGUGGGUUAGAUGAGCGGUGGCAGCCGGCGGUGUGUCGCUCGGGGACCGCUGCCGGGGUCGGUGACCAGUAUCGAUCGGGGGUGCGACCAGCCUGGCGCCGCACCCCCGACUCCCACACGACUACCGCAUGCGUCACUCCAGUCAACAUUGCACCACGCAACUAAGUUUUUCGGACUGCAGAGUUCAACUUGAACCGGUUUUGCGGUUCAUAUUAAAUUUGUUAGGUAACUUUUUGAAGUUAGAUGAGGCUAAUUUUGUUGGUUCUCUAAACGACCUAAUCCAGAUAAACAAUAAACACUUAUGUAACGAAAAUUAACGUUAACGUGAUUAAUCUAACACAAUUAAGCUUUACGUCAACGAAAGCUUGAAGUUUUGAAUCUUGUUGAUGUUGAGUUGAGGAAAUUGAAAUAUUCGAUCAAUAUAAUUACCAGGGUGGCCGGACACGUGAAGAUGUAUCUGCUGUACAUAGUGUCAAAACUUCUCGAGUUCAAUACAGUUCACAGUACUCGCGGAGCCGAUGUCUGGCGCUUCGCCAAAACUGUGACGAAACUUCUUUCUAUUGACCGACGCUCUAUUUUUUUUCUAUUCCCAAUGAAAAAGCAAGACAAUUAACAAGGCGAUCAUCGUGCCAAUGGCAUUUUACCGAUCAAUAAUUUACAACAUAGUAGAAAUAAUCGUGACACGCAAUCUGUGAUUUGGUUUUAACGCUAAAAAGUACGUUUUUAAAUCUACGUUGAAUAAACAGGAUAGUUCGUUUACACAGCUCGGCAAUCAUCACAAAAAGCGAUAAAAUAAACAACAAAGGUAUUCAGAUUCAGGGAAUCGUAGAGGCGAAAUAGAUGAAAAAGCUUUCCCGUUUUCCCGGUCAUCCAUUAUAGGCGGGAAGAAUGCCUACAGCUUUGUAUAGGAACUUUGAAGGGAGAGCGCAGGAAAACAGCUUGUCGAGGCCCGCGCAGCCCCGCGUUGCCGUCGCCAUGGCAACCUCUCGUGAUUUAUGCCAGCCUGGUGACCGGCCUCUCCGCGGCUUGUUAUUGGAAAGAUUUCUUAAUCUAUAAAGAUCCGCGUGUUCGAGUAAUAACUGAACCUCAAUAAAAUUUUAUGUCCUAUUUGGAUUAUAAUUUAGAUCGUAAAGUUGGUUCAUCCCAUGAGGGGCUCGUAAAACGUGCCAGGGGGUUACAUCGACUUCUGAAAAGUGCGCGGUGUUCACAAAUGUUGGCAUACGGUUAAAUUGGUUUCAGAGGAUACAACAAGCACAACAUAAUUUGAAUUUUUCCGUCGUAAUCGGUCGAUGUAGACUGAAUGUCGCUUUAACAAAAUCAAACGAUAUGAUUCAGACUUGCAAUGUGUAUUGAUAUUCAUCUAUCCAACUAUGUAUGACUUCCAUACGGGUAGCAUUGCUUGACAUAUUAUUGUGUAAUUUUCAUAUAAAAAAACAAAAUUUUUUUUAAUUAAUGACUGGAAAUUCAACGUACCCAAUAAAAAUCAAAUAUCGAAUUACGAGAUACUCCUAAAACUUGAUCUUUUUGUAUAUAUUUGAAUUAAAUCGAUAUUAUUACUGCUAAGAAAUUCGUUAGAAAAACCUCUAGUGUUUGAAAGAGAGAUGUGACGGUGUGCGAAGGAGAGGUCCGAUGAGGCUUUGUCUCGUUCAUUAUUCAGGAAUGAGUACGGUUUUCGUAGCUCUCCCCUCUAGUAGCGUAUUUGUAUUAUACGUUAUAUAUAGGGUGUUCUAUUUGACCCAAAUAUAAGAUACGGGUUCAAUGUAAUAUUCAAGCAGCAUCUUUGAUUACAAAUCUGAAAGUUAUGUGGAAACACAUAAGGAAAAUCAUUUAUGAGAUAGUUCUGCAUAGUCGUAUUGCAUUUGUGAUGAACCAAUGGGGAAUUAUAAAUACAAAUUUCAUUAAAAAUAUGAUUAUUUGGUUAAAAAUAACUCUUAAUCUAUAACUCUUAUCUAAAAUAAGUGUAAUCUUCCUUUUGUCAUUUUCAUUCUACAAUGUUUCUAUAUUUUAUAUACUCAUGUUUUUGUGGUGACGAACCACUAGUGAAAUAAAAAUCAAUUUUAAUGACACCUUUGACUCUCUAAAACCUAACAAAUAACCUAUGUUUCUGUACAAAACAUAAAAACUGCAUUGAUAGUAUUUAGAGACGCAUUUCUUUUUUAAUAAAAAUCAAUUCAAUAUAUUUUCCUCUGAUGAAACCAUUUCCCGCAAACCUUUUCACGGACGAGUGACGGGCUCAAUGGAACCAACCGAAUAGCCAUUCACAGACUUAUGUUUCUGUAAGGGUUUUAUAAUUGUUCCACUCAAUCACGUGAUUGCUCCAAUGAAUAAAGCAUUGAGUAUAUUGUGGCUAAGAAAUCUAUAAAUGAUUCCUAAAGUAGGACUAACGAAUGUAUAGAAUAAGCACAACAUUAACAGUGACAAUGUCUUAAACUGUUAAGAACAUAACAAAACUAUACUUCCUAUUAAGUAUGGCGAGGAUCGGUGGUAAGGAAACGGUGAUCUUGGAUUAAGACUCUGGGUAAUUGCUGACACCGCAGAAACAUUACCUUAACCGAUAACCGUUUUCGGGUAGUCUAUACCUUGUGUCAGAAAAGCCAUGAGAGUUGAGACUCAUGCUGGAUGAAUCUAUGACCCGUUAACUUCCCACUAAGUCAGAAACUUUACAAGAUUUCCAAACUUCAGAUUAAGACUUAUGCGAAUGUAGUGUUCGCUCACUCGCCCCCAUCCAAAUAAAAAUUAAUCCAGACUCUUCGAUUUUGCUUCAUUUGUUUCGUUAGGUUAGCUGUCAGAGUACCAUUAUAUAUCACGUCCUUACGGAUCCAUCAGAUCCAAUAACCUUUGCAUUAGACGCCUUCAGCUCUAAUACUAGGAGCAGGCUUAGGGACCCCGGUAACCGUACUCGUCGAACUUGACAAAGAGGUCGACGUGCAACCUAACCCAUGCAUCAGCCCGCUGAGUUUCUCGCCGGAUCUUCUCAGCGGGUCGCGAUUCCGAUCCGGUAGUAGAUUCAUUCGCGAAGCAGUUGCUCUUGAGUUGUUAGGUCUCCUUCGGAGGCGCUCGGGCACCUGUUAGCAAAUCCCACCCCUCCUGGCUGAGCCUUUGCUCGUCCACCUGUCCUGGUGAAACUGGAAAGUCUUUCGAGCCACGAGUAAUCCUUCAAUCAUAAAAAAAACCCGUUAUAUAUUCUACAUGUAUAUUUACAACGACCUGGAUCUCGAACCCAUCCAUAGGUAUAUAAAGGGCUCACGCAUCAGACGAGCAGCGUCGACAUUCCGAACCAAUUCGAUCAUCCUAAUCAACCCUCAAUUCUGGAUACUACUAGUUCUAACGCUAACAGAAUUUCGACCAGUGAAGAAACACAAAUAAGUUAAUGAAUCUUAAAAUAAAACUGUUUUUUAACCGUACCCUCUGUAAACAUAUGAACAUACUUUAAUAAAGUACGUACAUUGAUCGUAAUAAAAAGACUCAAACGUUCAUGAAUAAGUAGUGAAUACCCUGCCGAACCGAUUCCAACAUUUUCGUGAAUUGGAUUUACCUUGUGUUUCAUUUUGCGGUAUAGAUACAUAAAUAGUGGGCGUUUUUUUCUUCCGAAAUCACGUUCCCUAUUGUUUUCAUUACAUUGCGUAGAUACUACACGUACUUCAUAGAGAGCAUUGUAAACAUCGGUCAUUUGGUUUACUUUUUUUUGGUUUACCCGCGCGGACUCACAAGAGGUCUUACCACCAGUAAUUACGGAAAUUAUAAUUUUGCGGGUUUUGAUUUUUAUUACACGAUGUUAUUCCUUCACCGUGGAAGUCAAUCGUGAACAUCUGCAUUGGAUGCGGGAAACACGAGUGCCAUUACACCGCAUACGUUUACGAUGUAAUAACAUUUUAUUCGCGUUUUUUUAUAUCAUACAUUAUGUGAAUAUAAAGUUUCAAUAUCGACUCUAAAACAUGGAAAUGUCGCGCGCGCUACUGUUGCCGACAGGGUGUUUGGUCGUAACGCACUCUGAGUAAUUAAAUUGUUUUUUUUUAUCUCCUACCUAUGCUGAUAGCGUUGAGAGGCUAUUUCAGCUUCACCCUAGCGUGCAGGUGAGCUCUCAGGGCUCAAACCGGAAGUGUUGCUAACACUGGCCCUACAUGUAAAACAUGCCUAAACAGAAAACUAUACUGACAGUUAACAUCAUCAUUUACAUCCUGUUAUACCGGUCAGGAUAUUAGAGCGAAGUUAUAGAAUUAUUGUAUUAUCAUUAGUCUUUGGUGCGUGUGCAAUGUUCAAGCUGUAGGUCGUCUUAAAGUCUGCGAAGAUGACGUUAAAUAAUUCCGUUACAUACAUAUAUACUAAGCUCAUAAAACCAUGUUAAAAAUACCGUACGAACACUCGUCCGCCUCUGAAAAAAACUUUUGCUGAAAACUGUUCAAAAAUUCAACUAAACCGAAUUAAGACGUAGAUCACGAACAAACUGCAAACAAGUUUAUAAAAUACAAUAAUAGUUCGCUUCGUCCGCGUGAAUUUAUGUAGUCGCUUCGAAAUGCAUUUAAAAUAAUGAAGGCAUGCAACGGAUAACGUCAUACUGUGGAAGAGCAACCCGGUCGGCGGUGUAUCGCGUUCCGGCUGGCUGGUUCUGGCCCAGCGGGGUAUCCCGGAACACCAGCGGCAUCGCCCGGGCGGCCUGGUAGGGCUGCUGUACCGCGGAGACCGGCGUCGUUGAUCGUCGACUAUCGCCUCGACGACCCGUCGGUCGGGCGUCCUCGGGGUGGCGCCGCGUGUCUGUCUGGUUGUAAUGUUGACCACAAGUACCCCCCUAUUCUGACCGGGUUCUGACCCCGGACGAAGAUCGGACGUCGAGUGUAAGAGUGCAGGGGAGUUGCUUGGUACGGUAGGGCCUUAAAACUCCUUGGGCCCGUGGUCUGCUUCCGACAUCAGCAGGUCGUCAAGUCCCACUUACCCCGCGCGCCCCCUAGGGCCGCGGACCUCGAUUCCUCCAUUGGAAUCCCUCCUCCAUCAGGCUGUUGGCAUUGCAAGCACACUGUACUGCGGUGGCUUUCGUAGUGCUGGUGAUAAGGUCAAAACAGCACGUGAAGAAUAGACCUCGAGGUCUUCUGUCUUCUACACGGCCCUGUACGAGAAGUCUCUCCAUUGAAUCUUCCUAUCUGGAGAUGUGCCCAAAGAACAUGAGAAUUCUUUUUUUUUAUUGCAUAGAUAGGUGGACGAGCUCACAGCCCACCUGGUGUUAUGUGGUUACCGGAGCCCGUAGACAUCUACAAAGUAAAUGCCGCUAAUAAAAAUAUGAUAAUUAAACGAAGAGGCAGGUAUUAGGGUAAAAAUAAUUGAUACAAACAAUAGUUUUUUUUUUUUGUGUCUAUUGUAAUACUUUAAAGGCCAAAUUCCUAUGAAACUAUAUGUAAUACAGAAAACGAAUUUAAAUGUAAAGGCGUUAGUGGUUAAGGUCGAUUAUCGAUUAUUCGUUGAACAACUAAUACACUAAAAUCAUAAUAUAAUUUGCUAAUUUAUGUAGAGUGAUGAUAAAACCCAAUCCCAGACAAACAAACUGUAGUAGUCAAAGAUAAUAACCACAGUUCAAUGAACCACACAAAGUUAGCUCAUUACCUCGAAACAAAAGGUUCAAUGAACCUCUGUAAAACAAUACAAAUACUCAUUCAAUUAAUAUACUGCAUCAUAAAAAACUCCACUACGUAUAAAAAAAAGUUUUGAAACAGUCGGUAAUGCGGACGGAACCUAGUUUCCGUUUACGAGGUGUCGGCGCGUAGAGGGUGCGGUGACCGACCCGCUACGGCGUAGAGUGCAGCGCACGUAGCUCGUAGCGGUUUUUCUGUUUCACUUUAAUAUUCAACGUAUGUACUUGAAAACAAAAAAAUAGGAUAGGCAAGUUUUUUUUUUAUUGUUCAGUUAAUUGAACGAGCUUACGUCGUAUUUGGUAUUAAGCGGUUACCGUAGCCCACAGAUAUCACAAUACGAAUGUGAAUAUACAAUAUGAACAUUUGUAAAAUUUCAUCAAAGGAAUGCCAAGUUCUGAUGCUGUGAAAAAAAAAAUUUGAAUACAAUAAAAUAGCGUUGCAUCUUAUAAUUCAACAAACAUACAAAAAAUGUGAGAUUUAAUUUUCGUCCAAUUGAAUAAUAAUAUCAAUAUGAGUCCGAUAUAUACAGACAAUAUUUAUUGACAAGUGUUUCCACAGUUGAAACGUUAUAUAAGAGGAUCGUGUCGAUACAGUUUUGUUUAUUGAACAUCCGCCCUGACCCACAUACCGCCUUCGGACCCCUUUCUCGGCUGCUCUAAGCACGUUAUACUCACUUCACACCGCUCGUACAUGACAUGCUUCUUCUAGAAACAUCUUCGAAUGUAUUCUUUUUCUACAUAAGUGAACUCUCACGGACUAUCUCUUAUUAAGUAUUACAAUCUAAAUGCCUUCAUACACCUUGGUACUUAGGUCUAUAUCUCAAUUGUAUAGUACGCAUAUAACGCAACUUGGAGUCGUCGUGGCCUAAAGGAUAAAGACGUCUGGUGCAUUCGUGGUGAGCGAUGCAACGGUGUUCGAAUCCCGCAGGCAAGUACAAAUUUUUCUAAUGAAAUACGUACUUAACCAAUGUUCACGAUUGACUUCCACGGUGAAGGAAUAACAUCGUGUAAUAAAAAUUAAACCCGCAAAAUUAUAAUUUGCGUAAUUACUGAUGGUAGGACCUCUUGUGAGUCGCCGCGGGUAGGUACCACCACCCUGCCUAUUUCUGCCGUGAAGCAGUAAUGCGUUUAGGUUAGGUUUGAAAGGUGUGGCAGCCGUUGUGAGUAUACUGAGAACUUAUAAAUUAUACCUCAAAGUGGAUAACGCAUUUACGUUGUAGAUGUCUAUUGGCUUCUUUUUUUAAAUAGUGGAAGUUAAAUCGCUUGAUGCGAGUACACAGAGAGUUCUUAUAGACAAUGACGACUAAUUUCAAUUAAUGAUAAUGAAUUCACGAUAUAUUUCUGUUAACUUAUCACACCCACUUCUAAUUAAUUGAUCAUCUUGACGCUUGGUGAUGAUCUGUAGCUCCGAUGAUAAUACAGUAAAAUGAUAUCGUCAGGCUAUAGAAUCACUCGUCACCUCGUCUAGCCCAUAAGAUCGGUUCGGAAUAAUACGAUGCGCAAAAUUUUGUUUAAGUUUUUUAUCUGCAGAUGUCUGAUGUCUGCGAACCCGAGCGAGAGAAUAUUCAACAUAUAUUUGAGUGAAAACAUUUCUAACGGCGGACCUCGGUCUGAAGGACGUAGGAUCUGGCUCUUUGCCAACUACCACCCCGCUUCUUCGCCCUUUCUACUGUCACUAUACAUAUCUAUUACACUUCAUGCACAUUAUUGUACAUUGUAUUUUUUUUCCUAUCAAUUCUAUUAACCUCGAGGGGUCACACUUGAUUCUCCGGGUACUAACUAGGUGACGGUGUUCAAACCUGACGACGCUGCUAACACUAACCCUAGCAAGAGCAGUGCUUCGCAGAAUCUACCUCCGGAUCAGAAACGCGACUUACUGAGAAAAUCCGGCGAGAAACUCAGUGGGCUGUGUCUAUGAGUUAAUUCGCUCGCCGAGCCCUUCAUCGCAAGCGAUGGGUUCGACGGGAACCGUGACCGGUGCUUGAGAUACCUAAAGGCACCGUUAGUGGAUCGGGAGGAUCCGAAAUGUAUUAGUGGACUUAACGUCGAAAGCAUUUUCUACCAGUCGACCAAGGAUGAUGCCGAUAGGAACACUGUAGGUGCAUUAGUUGAAAAAUUAAAGAAAAACUGAAGCUAUACUAUUGUUAUGCCGAUAAGAGUAACUCAUCUAUCGCCGAAUAGUCGAACGAAUAUAGAAGGAUCUAGUUGCACCUAGAACGCUCGAGAAGUACAGCGCCAUCUAUUGUCAGAUAGCGAAAACACAAUACUCGAAACGUGUGGAAUAUUCUCGAUAAUUCUAGGGAUGUGGUAUCGGCUAUAAAAGCGUUGCAGAGAUGCAGUGAAUCGGAACUACUCGAAGCGAAACAGCAAACGGAUCACCUGAAGCGAAGCCCUUUGGCUUCUUUAAGCAAAUUGAGAGUUUUAAAAUGUUUGUUAAGUGGUUUAAUUGUUCUAAGUGUUGAAUACAGUUUUUAGUUGUACUUUGACGGAAUUUUAUUUAUCCCAAACCCAGACCAAAAGUUUAAAGAGUUACAGAUUCGGACAGUGUCCAACCAGAGAAUCACUAAAGUAAUAAAUAUUCCUAAGAAUCCCAUGUCAACGUUUUGGGGAAUAGUACUUCGAACCAUAUUGUUUACCAUGAAAACGCCAUAAAGAAUGAUUGCAUGAUCGGGAUCAUUCUCAAUCAAAGCAAACAUUCGUUCCAAUCAGGGUUAUUAGUUCAAAAACAUUUUGAACCUUCCUUUCCGUCGAACCCUAUCCCUUUGCAAUACGGUCUAAAAUAAAUACGCCAUAUCCACCCGAAAGGAAAUGCUUAUCCAAAAAUAAACCGUUUGUGAAUGAUCGUAAAGAAGAGAAUGGCUUAGUGGAGGUCAGCAGGUUAACGGCCGGGGUCGACAACCCGUGAGUCACAAAACUACCCCAUUAUAUGUAGGCCUUUCCCAUUUGCAGACGCACGUAAUAUAUGAUUUCUACGCGAGUUCUAUGUCCGUUCUCGCUUUUAUAUCGUCAUAGUGUUUUGACAAAAAAAAACAUUAAUAUUUUUUUCUUUAAAAUCGAUUUUAUUCCUCAGAAAAUGUAAUCGAAUUAUUUUGUUCCUUGUUCUACUAAAUGAAGUUGGUGCAACACGAUUUCUGGUACCCUGCGGAAUAUCAGGAAACUAUUAGGUCCGUAGCGACCGACUAUUAGGGAAAGUACUAGCAGUAACUCACGCAGGUCUGGAAAAAAUAUCACCACAAAAGAUCCUCGAAUUACCAAAUUAAAUUGUAGCUAUACUUAAGUUAGUUCAUUUAUUAUCUUAUUUAUUUCACGAUACAGGAAAGAGUUAAUAAUGUUCAACAGAAAUGACUUCAAGCAAUAGUCAAUUAAGAUUCACAAUAAAUUAGUAAAAAGUUGAAACCGCCUUUCACAACAGUAAUGAUAAAUAUUUAAUCAUCAGAAUGCUCGUGUGCAAAGCCAAACUGCGGCCUCAGCAGUAUAACCUCUUUGUCGCAUUGGGGUAAGUCGAGCGAACGAGACGCCACAUCUAGACUACAAUGAGCCAGUACGAGAUAAAAUGCCGUGUAAUCGGUUUUAGCAUCACCAUGUUUUCUUUUGCGUUCACAAUGUAAUCUAACAUUGUAAGUUUGGUAACUGACUUGGAAAUGAAUGAUAAAGUCGAUAAAUUUGUUGAAUAUUCUUAUUUGAUUGUAAAUUUUAUGUAAUGUGAUCCGAUGCAGUUCACUCGUCGAUAGCUCUUCGUCGAAUGACGGCGAGUCGGUUAGUUGGUCAGGGCUUACGUAUUCACUAAAUAUUGAAUUCAGGUAGGGGGGAGGGGUUGGGGCGUCCAGGCCCACAUCUCCAUUCCAUCAUACCUGUAGUAUAUUAUACUGUCUGAUGGCCUUGACUUGCGUACAAUGCCACGACCGCUUUGAUACAUUUCAUGCGACUAACCUUGAAUUUAAAGGGUUCCCUGACGGGCGCCGACAUCAUGCAAAUAUCUGUCUGUUCUGUAUGCUAACGUACUCUUAU